GAUGAACGCUGGCGGCGUGCCUAAUACAUGCAAGUCGAGCGAACAGACGAGGAGCUUGCUCCUCUGACGUUAGCGGCGGACGGGUGAGUAACACGUGGAUAACCUACCUAUAAGACUGGGAUAACUUCGGGAAACCGGAGCUAAUACCGGAUAAUAUAUUGAACCGCAUGGUUCAAUAGUGAAAGACGGUUUUGCUGUCACUUAUAGAUGGAUCCGCGCCGCAUUAGCUAGUUGGUAAGGUAACGGCUUACCAAGGCAACGAUGCGUAGCCGACCUGAGAGGGUGAUCUGCACCACGGGACCAGAGACAGGGCCCAGACUCCUACGGGGGGCGCCAGAGGGGAUUCUCCCGCAAGGGGCGAACUCUUGACAGAGCGACGCCGCGUGAGUGAAAAAGGUCUACGUAUCGUAAAACUCUUUUAUUGGGGAAAAAAAAAUGUAAAAGUAACAAGCCCCGUUUUGCCGGUACCAAAACAAAAACCCCCGGCUAACUCCGUC
This 497-nucleotide ribosomal RNA is filed under the name uncultured bacterium. RNAcentral's name for it is "partial 16S ribosomal RNA". It matches the Rfam family "Bacterial small subunit ribosomal RNA", at positions 28 to 507 of the family's 1533-position model. The record is from RNAcentral.